This 1185-nucleotide long non-coding RNA is filed under the name Homo sapiens (human). Its description in RNAcentral is "non-protein coding lnc-NR2F1-1:1". Lineage: Eukaryota; Metazoa; Chordata; Mammalia; Primates; Hominidae. The record is from RNAcentral.
GACGUCUCAGUGCGCAGAUACCGCGGCCCGGGCCCCUCCGCCGCGCGGGGGACCGCACUAGCGUCGACCUCCCGGCAGCCAACCCCGCGCGCAAGGCUCCGCGGCCGGAUAUGGGCCUAGCUUCCGGGAUCCGCUCCCUGCGGGGCCGCGCUUAGGGUCGGAGUUCGCUAGUCCAGGGAAAGGGGUGGGAGGGGCCCUCGGAGGGGCCCCUACAAGGGAUCCCAGUCCGCAGAAUUAAAAAUUCGUUCGCAAGGGAGCGCCCUUCCGGGGUCAGGGUCGUGAAGAGACACUCGAGAAUUAGGGUCCUGGACUGCAGUGGGGCCGGGCCUGGACUUCGGGCAGGUGUUUCCUGGCCGCCCUGGGGCCCUGCAGCACCGAGGGCCGCGCUGAUCUCAGGGCUCAGGCGGACGAGGGGCCGCCACAGGCACCUUAGGACCCUGGCGGCCUGAAGGCCUGGGGCCUUCAGGAAAGCCUCGGGCACUCCCAGCGGGGGACCUAGCGCCAGGUCACGAUUCCAUUCGGGGCGGGGAGCUUCUAAGCAGGAGUUGCUGACCAAGGAAAGAGUCUGGACCCGGGACCUCAUCCCUGAGGACCAGACCACGACCUUGGAGCUCAGCUCUCAGUCCUUCCCGGCUAGGGAUGCGGAGGGGUCGGGAGCUCGACGGCUAAGCGGCAGGGAAUCCUGAGUUCCUAGAGAUCUACAGAAAGCAGAAGAACGACACUAGAUGAGACUAGACAGUGACGGCGGAAGGACGGAACCACAUGGAGACUGACACACUUUGCGAGUUGGGACUCAAUUGCAUUUCUUUAAGUCCUUGAUUCCGAAGUUUCCCCGCCCUCCUAUGCAAGAGCGUUUGGGGAAACUAAGUUCCUUAGACUCUUUCAUCCUUGUUAUGUGAGCUCAGGGAGGAAGGCAGACAAUAGCUGCAGCCUAAACACCUGCUAUCUCUCAAUGCAAUAAGAUAUAGACGGUGAUUGGAGUCGUUUCUCUUUUUGCUUCCAGAGGGAGCUCAAACCUGAAGCAUCAAGGUUAUCUUUUUCCAAAGGAUUUGUGUGAACCUAAGUUCGGUACCUGCGACGAGUAAAAACACUUAUUUGACCCUCUAGAGACUCAGCUAGAACUGACUGAGCAAAGGGAAAUCGGGCAAAAGAAAGGGAAGGUACUGAGGAGAAAACGGUAAGCGG